UCUUCACCGCAUGCAAUGCAUGUGUAAUGGUGGCGCCCGUGGUCAUUACUGUGACAAAAGAGGGUGAUCAAAGCAGUCAUCAUCGACAUGGAUUAGAAAGCAUGGGAUAACAAAGGAGCGGCCUCGUACUGCCGAUUCGGCUUUUGUUGGUUUUAAAGGUCUGUGGGAGAUUGUGGACCCCCAGACCGGCUGAACGUAAACAUUUGCGUUACAGCCUUCCGUCUCGUCCUUGCGGCGGGUGCGGCUUGGUGGGUCCAGGAAUGAAGGAGGGUUGUUCGGGGGAGAACGUACUUGAGCGUGGAGGUGAAAUUCUUAGACCGCUCAAAGACGAACUACAGCGAAGGCAUUCUCCAAGGUACCUUCCUCAAUCAAGAACCAAAGUGUGGAGAUCGAAGAUGAUUAGAUACCAUUGUGUCC
Molecule: ribosomal RNA, 417 nt
Filed under: uncultured kinetoplastid
Lineage: Eukaryota; Euglenozoa; Kinetoplastea
Description: bacterial SSU rRNA
Rfam family: Eukaryotic small subunit ribosomal RNA
Source: RNAcentral